Molecule: ribosomal RNA, 446 nt
Filed under: uncultured bacterium
Lineage: Bacteria
Description: bacterial SSU rRNA
Rfam family: Bacterial small subunit ribosomal RNA
Source: RNAcentral
UUCCAGACUCCUACGGGAGGCAGCAGUGGGGAAUAUUGCACAAUGGGGGAAACCCUGAUGCAGCGACGCCGCGUGAGUGAAGAAGUAUUUCGGUAUGUAAAGCUCUAUCAGCAGGGAAGAAAAUGACGGUACCUGACUAAGAAGCCCCGGCUAACUACGUGCCAGCAGCCGCGGUAAUACGUAGGGGGCAAGCGUUAUCCGGAUUUACUGGGUGUAAAGGGAGCGUAGACGGCAUGGCAAGUCAGAUGUGAAAGCCCGGGGCUCAACCCCGGGACUGCAUUUGAAACUGUCAGGCUGGAGUGCAGGAGAGGUAAGUGGAAUUCCUAGUGUAGCGGUGAAAUGCGUAGAUAUUAGGAGGAACACCAGUGGCGAAGGCGGCCUGCUGGACGAUGACUGACGUUGAGGCUCGAAAGCGUGGGGAGCAAACAGGAUUAGAUACCCGCGUA